RNAcentral lists this ribosomal RNA (253 nucleotides) under uncultured bacterium. RNAcentral's name for it is "partial 16S ribosomal RNA". It matches the Rfam family "Bacterial small subunit ribosomal RNA", at positions 524 to 776 of the family's 1533-position model. The record is from RNAcentral.
UACGUAGGUGGCAAGCGUUACUCGGAAUUACUGGGCGUAAAGGGUGCGUAGGUGGUUGUUUAAGUCUGCUGUGAAAGCCCCGGGCUCAACCUGGGAAUGGCAGUGGAUACUGGACAGCUAGAGUGCGGUAGAGGGUAGUGGAAUUCCCGGUGUAGCAGUGAAAUGCGUAGAGAUCGGGAGGAACACCAGUGGCGAAGGCGGCUACCUGGACCAGCACUGACACUGAAGCACGAAAGCGUGGGGAGCAAACAGG